CCACAUAUUUCCUCUGUAUGAACUCUCGUUCUUUUGGAGCUCAUUCAUUGGUGCCCUACUGACAAUCCUGCUUGGAACAGCUUUGGGCGUCUUAACAGGUGGAGUCAAAGCAUGCGGAAACAACGUGAGUCUGACAAGUCCACUCUUCUUAAACCUGUGGAGGCGCUUCAAGUUUUUUGCUAACAUAAUUCAGGUUGACAAAGAAAGCAAAAAUGGUGGUUCGACUUUGCUUCACAACGACGAAGGUGUUGGGGAGAAAACCAGUCGUGUCACCAAGAUGCGAAACAGCGAAGAAGAAAAAUGUAUUUUUGCCUCUGGGUUACUAACAAAUGCCGGGACAAAUGAACUCUCGUUAUAGGUGCUCAAGUUACGAGUGUUGCCACAGCAGAAUUAUUACACGACUGU
Rhipicephalus microplus (southern cattle tick) is the source of this 405-nucleotide long non-coding RNA. Lineage: Eukaryota; Metazoa; Arthropoda; Arachnida; Ixodida; Ixodidae. The record is from RefSeq and is a predicted model, not a curated record.